AAGAUUUUAAUGAUCGAACAGAUCAAAAUUUUAAACUUCUACAUUUAAAUUUUAUCUUAAUCCAACAUCGAGGUCGCAAACUUUUUUUUUUAUUUGAACUAAAAAAAAAUAUUACG
This 116-nucleotide ribosomal RNA is filed under the name Ypthima akragas. Its description in RNAcentral is "partial 16S ribosomal RNA". The record is from RNAcentral. Lineage: Eukaryota; Metazoa; Arthropoda; Insecta; Lepidoptera; Nymphalidae.